RNAcentral lists this long non-coding RNA (639 nucleotides) under Mus musculus (house mouse). Its description in RNAcentral is "long non-coding RNA chr13:97980803-97981442". The record is from RNAcentral. Lineage: Eukaryota; Metazoa; Chordata; Mammalia; Rodentia; Muridae.
ACAGAGCUUGGCCAUCCCACUUGUAGCAUGGUCUCUUCGCAAGCUUGGCUGUGGUACCCGUUUUACAUUCUAAGAUACACAACAGCUUAAACUUCAAGCCUCAGAUCUACACAGUAAUCAGAAGCUGGCAGUGCUGAAGGGAGCUCCUACAUCAAGCCUCACACAGCGAAGCAGAAAUCCAGAGGGCAAGGGCAGGUGUGAUUACGGGCUUUGUAUACCACCACUUAGGGAACUGCUCCUGGAGAGAGUCUUUUUGUGGUAGAAUAGAUCUAGAGAAAUUAUGCCACGUCUGAGGCUGGUGGUCCUCACAGCCUCUCAAAAUGGUCAAAUCUGAACUGUUUGUAAACUGUCAGUGUACCUAAAAUGGAACCCUCCUGCCCCCAACCCUGCGGCCGUUACCCCUGAGGAUGGAAAACAGUCAUUUGUAUGACUACACGAAAUACAGAGAGAGAAAAAUGGGUCUUGGGCAGCUUACUACACAAAAAUCGCUCACCAACUUAUGGGCACAGAGGAAAACGUGAUGUAUAGACAUUUCCAAACCCUGCAGAAGUGAGAACCCUCAACAUACCUUUUUUCUCCUGGUGGCUCCUGGAAACUAUAUGAUCUCUGUUCUGUAAGACAGACAGAAGACAAAAAAAG